Small nucleolar RNA from Syngnathoides biaculeatus (alligator pipefish), 128 nucleotides. RefSeq annotates it as small nucleolar RNA SNORA65. The transcript has a single exon. NCBI's taxonomy places the organism in Eukaryota, Metazoa, Chordata, Actinopteri, Syngnathiformes, Syngnathidae. The record is from RefSeq and is a predicted model, not a curated record.
CCAGCCACUGUACCGGUCUUGUCAGAGUGACUGAGUAUAAUCCAGUGGAGGCGCAGAUUGACCCACCUUUAGGAAACAGAGCUGUCCAAACUAAUGGACAACCCUGUGCCGAAAAGUCUGGAACACUG